RNA transcript from Phragmites australis (common reed), 1382 nucleotides. RefSeq lists it as uncharacterized. The record is from RefSeq and is a predicted model, not a curated record. The transcript is spliced from 3 exons. Lineage: Eukaryota; Viridiplantae; Streptophyta; Magnoliopsida; Poales; Poaceae.
UCGCAAUCGCUACUAAGGAAAGGGGAAAGUCAAAUGGGCAGCAAAUGCAAAACCCCAACCCGGAAGGCAGAAAACCACAAUAAACAAGGCACGCAACGAAUCGGAUCCCGAUUCCGAUUUAAUUCCCGCAAAUCCGACCGAUUAAUCCCCCGGCCCCCGCCGGCCGCUUCAUGCUCCGGUCAUUCCCGUCCCCCCACCGCGCUGCCUCCACCGCCGCGGCCGCCGCGGCGAUGCGCCCCGCGUCCUCCUCCUCCCGCUCCUCGGCCGGCGGAGGCGGGGCCCACCACCACCAUGGUCACCAUGCCUCCGUCUCCCCGUUGCCGUCGACGUGCAGGCACACGCCGUCGUCGGCGACGCUCGAUCUCCUCAUCCUGCUGCUCGUGCUCUUCUCUCUCGCCUUCCUGCUCGCCUCCUCGCUCGCGCACGUCUCCCGCGCGCUCUCCCCGCUGCUCGCCUCGCCGCCCGCCGUCGCCGCACUCAACUACGCCGCGGCCGCGCUGCCCUACCUCGCCGCGGCGGCCGUGCUCUCCGCCGCCGCCUUCCUCUCCUGCCGCCGGCUCCCGCGCCGCCGGUGCCGCAACCCGCGCUGCCGCGGGCUCAGGAAGGCGCUCGAGUUCGACGUCCAGCUGCAGACCGAGGAGGCUGUGCGCGCCGGCGCCGGGAGCACCGUCGGCGGUGCUGACGCCGCCAUGUGGCGCGAGAUCGAGGCGCUGCCGUGGAAGGGAGGGCAGGGCGGGAACAAUCCGGACUACGAGUGCCUCCGCGCGGAGCUCCGGCGGAUGGCGCCGCCCAACGGCCGCGCGGUGCUGCUCUUCCGCAACAGGUGUGGCUGCCCUGUUGCUAAGCUUGAGGGCUGGGGCACUCCCAAGAGCAAACGGCGCAACAAGAAGAACCGAGCCUAGCUUGUUGGUUGAGGGUGUCGAUGUAUGCCUAGACCAUCCAGUUUUGAGACUUCUUCGACGCGAAUUUGGGUGUCUAUUUCUUCUUAUCUACAAUGCCACCUAGUUCUUCCUAGGGGCACGCAAGGUUCGUUCCAUGACCGAGGGGUGAGGUGAAUAGAAGUCUGAUGGUCACCAGUUGCAACAACAUUGUUGCUUUAGACCGCCAUGUUGUUGAAUGAUACAUCCAAUGAAAGAUACAUCGAUUACAAGUGAUUGCGCCAUGAUUGUAUUGUUAGACGGGGUUCACCCCAACAGAUAUACUGAUACGAGACAAACGAUGCAAGAAUAAAGAACUGUUAAAGGACAACAAAACAUAAACAUUGGGGAUGUUGUCAUGCUUCUCGUGUUGCGCUUUUGCCUUUGUUUUCUCACACACAAUGCAGGGAACCAUGUUGAUCGCCCAAAAGGCCUGAACAAUAUAUGCUCGAUGUUGUGAUUAAA